UGAAAGAGAUACAAAACUUGACCAUGAG
This 28-nucleotide non-coding RNA is filed under the name Mus musculus (house mouse). The record is from RNAcentral. Lineage: Eukaryota; Metazoa; Chordata; Mammalia; Rodentia; Muridae.